CACGGUGGGAGCAAGCGUUGUUCGGAAUCACUGGGCGUAAAGGGCGUGUAGGCGGUCAAGUAAGUGGGAUGUGAAAUCCCUCGGCUCACCCGAGGACCUGCAUCCCAAACUGCUUGGCUUGAGUAUGGGAGAGGAUGAGGGAAUUCCUGGUGUAGCGGUGAAAUGCGUAGAUAUCAGGAGGAACACCGGUGGCGAAGGCGCUCAUCUGGCCCAAUACUGACGCUGAGGCGCGAAAGCUAGGGGAGCAAACGGG
Molecule: ribosomal RNA, 253 nt
Filed under: uncultured bacterium
Lineage: Bacteria
Description: partial 16S ribosomal RNA
Rfam family: Bacterial small subunit ribosomal RNA
Source: RNAcentral